RNAcentral lists this ribosomal RNA (253 nucleotides) under uncultured bacterium. RNAcentral's name for it is "partial 16S ribosomal RNA". It matches the Rfam family "Bacterial small subunit ribosomal RNA", at positions 524 to 776 of the family's 1533-position model. The record is from RNAcentral.
UACGUAGGGGGCAAGCGUUGUCCGGAAUUAUUGGGCGUAAAGGGCUCGUAGGCGGUCUGUUGCGUCGGGAGUGAAAACUCAGGGCUUAACCCUGAGCCUGCUUCCGAUACGGGCAGACUAGAGGUAUGCAGGGGAGAACGGAAUUCCUGGUGUAGCGGUGAAAUGCGCAGAUAUCAGGAGGAACACCGGUGGCGAAGGCGGGUCUCUGGGCCGAUACUGACGCUGAGGAGCGAAAGCGUGGGGAGCAAACAGG